AUCUUAAUGCAGACAUCCGAUAAAAUUGCAACGAUAUAGAGAAGAUUAGCAUGGCCUCUGCACAAUGAUGAUACACACAAAUUGAGAAAUCGCCAUGACAACG
Non-coding RNA from Picea glauca (white spruce), 103 nucleotides. The record is from Rfam. Lineage: Eukaryota; Viridiplantae; Streptophyta; Pinopsida; Pinales; Pinaceae.